UUAAAGGCUUUUUUAAAAGCUACACUUACUCCUUUUACUAAGCUU
Operophtera brumata (winter moth) is the source of this 45-nucleotide non-coding RNA. The record is from Rfam. Lineage: Eukaryota; Metazoa; Arthropoda; Insecta; Lepidoptera; Geometridae.